Molecule: ribosomal RNA, 142 nt
Filed under: uncultured bacterium
Lineage: Bacteria
Description: partial 16S ribosomal RNA
Rfam family: Bacterial small subunit ribosomal RNA
Source: RNAcentral
ACCAGCCAAGUAGCGUGCAGGAUGACGGCCCUAUGGGUUGUAAACUGCUUUUAUACAGGAAUAAAGUUAGCCACGUGUGGUUAUUUGUAGGUACUGUAUGAAUAAGGACCGGCUAAUUCCGUGCCAGCAGCCGCGGUAAUAA